Long non-coding RNA from Zea mays, 2139 nucleotides. RefSeq lists it as uncharacterized. The record is from RefSeq and is a predicted model, not a curated record. The transcript is spliced from 3 exons. Lineage: Eukaryota; Viridiplantae; Streptophyta; Magnoliopsida; Poales; Poaceae.
AGUAUUCAUUGUUAUCAAGCGCUUAGCUCUAGAAUUUUCUUUACCGCCUCCUUAUCCUAUGCACUCGGCUCCCUAGGAUAUUCUUCACCUUGAUUCUCCCAACCUUCCUGUACGUAUUCUACUGCUCCACCGAUCGGCUCCCUCUGACCUCCGUGCUACUGGUCGCCAGCACUCGGCACUCAGGCCGUUGGACACCGUCGUCGUGAGUCGCGCUCGUCUCUACCUCUACAUAUACUAGCGCCCAGCGCCCAGCGCCCUACACCUGCUCACCCGCUCCCCAUCGCGCUCGACACCGCCCCAGCUUCAAGCUGCACUUGCCGGACAGCAUCCUCCUCGUCGCGCUCAAAAGCAGCCACUUGACUCAUUUUUCCUUGCUCUGAUGCGUCAUCGCGUGGAGCUGCCCAACGCCGGUGUUGCAUACUACGCCUACUGCUCACUCUACAGCAGCUCGCUGGCUCCCUAAAAAUUCCCAGUCAUCUUUCGACUUCCUGCCUCGCCGUUCGUCGUGUCGUCAUCCAUGCUGUCUCGCGACGUCGGACUCCUCACACUUUGUUUCCUCCAUGUUGGCGAUGCUUGCUGAAAGCCUGAAUCACGUUACUGGUGGAUCAAUCGCUUGGUGAAACAAUUUCCUAGAGACUUGUCAUCACCCUGAAGACUUAUGACAUUUUAUUUUCUUAGUCUUCUGCUCUUCUCGGCAGCAAAGAUAAGCCCCGGUGCAUUCACCACUUUCCUUGUUGUUUACAAAAGUUUUAUCACUGUAUAUGAUGCAUUAGGUGCUAGGAGUUGCGUGAUCAAACAAUUGAUGCAUUACCAUCCUUGAGAAUUUGAAUAAUCAUUCCUUGAUACCUAUUUUAUGAAAAACUAGUGCUGCUUAGCCCUGCUUAAAGUGAUAAGAUUUUGAAAUUUAUUUUGAUUACUGGUUAUUGUUAUGUGUGAAUGAACUUGAGUUAGAUAAUUAAUAUGAGACCGGGUGGGUGGCUUGCAUCGUGAAAUGAGUCAGUGUAGUGCUCCGCCUGUGUCGAUUAAGGACCAUUCGAUGUAGGCUUGAUGAGGUGAGACUUUGCAACUAGCCACAUGCUCUGGUAAGUCUGAACCCGACUAUUUCAUACGUGAAAAGACAACCACGCACUGGGCGUGGGAGAUGGUGGGAGUAGCGUGUACCCUCCUGGCUAGAGGCUGGACGGAGGAGUACUGUGCUCCCGGGUAGCGCGGACCGGUUCACGUUGUGGAGGAUCUGUGAGUACGAUUGACAUAUGCAAGGGUUAAGUGCUACAUAUGUCGUGUGGUUAGGAAUCCCUAGCUGGGUAUAAUCGGUUCGAAUCGUCGUUGCUCCUCGGUUAUAGAGACUCGACUCACUGACCACUCAUCGUAGUUAAUAAGUGAAACAUGAAUUGGCUAAAAGAAAGCUAGAUGGACAAGUGAAUGCUCUAGAUCAGGAAAAUCUAGAAUCAGGUAAGAACUGAAAUUGAUAAUUAAAAGAUGGCUUAAGGAUCUACUAUUAGUAAGUUUUUCUGCAAAAUGAGUACUUGAUUAUUGCUUAGACUUACCUUGAUUCCUAAAAGCCAACAUAUCCUUGGAGUCUUUUUCUUUAGUCGGGUAAGACUUGCGAAAGUACACUUCGUACUCAGAGUUUUCGAACUCAUGUUGCUGCAGGUAAUAGAUUUGUGCUGCUGUUGAUGGUGCUAAGUGUCGGUGGGCUCGGCCUCCCUAUAUAAGUAAUCUUUACCUUCUUUUUGAGGAUUGUCAAUUAUGCUAGCAUGUAAUCCGAACUUACAAAUAUUUUAUAACAUUUCAAAGUAUAAUAUUUUAAUCACAUUUGUAAUCACUCCGAUAAUGUAAACUUAUUGUAAUUUGAAAGCUUUGUAAUAAAAAUUCCUCUGCAAAAACUUUGGUAUGUGAUUUGUGUUUACUUAAUCUUGUGAUCUUGGUGGUAAGUGGUUUAUCCGAGGUCCCCUAGGACACUCGGACAGAUCCUGUUAAGUUAUCGGGCACACAUGUAUAACUGUUUGAGGUCUUUGAGACAAGGACAUGUACAUGUGGGUCAUAUAAUUUGGGAGGAUCCGCCACACCAACCACCUCCAUUCAAGAUACCCAAGCCUCUCAUUCAAUACAAGAGCAUUCACUUCAACCAAAGACACA